GAACUAUCUGGGAGAUUCUGAGGGCAGUACCAGAGAUCGAACUCAGGACCUUGAGGAGCAGGCAUCAGAACCACUGAGCUAAGUCCCCACCCUUGUCCUGCUUAGUUUUAAACACAUAAUUGGACAUCUCUCAGACGGCUGUCCUGGCUGGGACUCUUAGUGAGGACAGGCAGUUCGGAUCCUGAGACGGGGAGCAGGCGCGGCGCGGCCACUCUCCCACCGGAGCCCUGGUCCAGACUCGGACCGCUAGGCCACCCUGUGCCCAUGGACAGCACCAGCCUCGCACAGCACAAGUGUGUCAGGCUCCUGGCACACCUGUCACCCCCUCCCCGGUUCUCAAGUCCUGUGUGCCUGGCCGUGGGCCCAGGUCACCGUCCCUGAGCUCUGGUGACAGCUGCGCCUGACACCAGCUGACCAAGUCCCGGUCUACCGUCCCCACCAGGGCCUGGAUUCCUAGUCUCCUCUGGCAGGGCUGGCCCUGUGCCCCAGGUGGCUGAGGUCCUGAGGCCACACCUCCCACGGCAUCUCGGGCGCAGGUCUUUGUCCGGGCACAGGCGGGGGGCGGGUGCCCGUUUUCGGGACGGCAUAGGCUCUGUGGUCACCUGGCUGGCCAGGGCCGCGCGCCAAAACCACUCAGCCGAAGCCUCUCCCCGCGCCUGGGCGGAGCAGGGCCGGAGGCCUGGGCGUGGCCAGGUCACAAGCUACCUCCCCCCACCCCACCCGCGACUCCCAGCUUCCACCGGAAGGAAGUAGGGGCGAGGCUGGAGCACACCCUUCCCACUUUGCUGAUGAAGACAGGCCCAGCUGGGAACCAGCCCUCCCC
Molecule: long non-coding RNA, 823 nt
Filed under: Heterocephalus glaber (naked mole-rat)
Lineage: Eukaryota; Metazoa; Chordata; Mammalia; Rodentia; Bathyergidae
Description: lncRNA (ENSHGLG00100044178.1)
Source: RNAcentral